GUGCCAGCCGCCCGCGGUAAUACGGAGGGUGCAAGCGUUAUCCGGAUUCACUGGGUUUAAAGGGUGCGUAGGCGGGCAGGUAAGUCAGUGGUGAAAUCUUCGAGCUUAACUCGGAAACUGCCGUUGAUACUAUCUGUCUUGAAUAUCGUUGAGGUAAGCGGAAUAUGUCAUGUAGCGGUGAAAUGCUUAGAUAUGACAUAGAACACCAAUUGCGAAGGCAGCUUGCUAAACGAUCAUUGACGCUGAUGCACGAAAGCGUGGGGAUCAAACAGG
RNAcentral lists this ribosomal RNA (273 nucleotides) under uncultured bacterium. RNAcentral describes it as "partial 16S ribosomal RNA". It matches the Rfam family "Bacterial small subunit ribosomal RNA", at positions 505 to 776 of the family's 1533-position model. The record is from RNAcentral.